AAUAGAUACCCCGGUAGUCCACGCCGUAAACGAUGUCGACUUGGAGGUUGUGCCCUUGAGGCGUGGCUUCCGGAGCUAACGCGUUAAGUCGACCGCCUGGGGAGUACGACCGCAAGGUUAAAACUCAAAUGAAUUGACGGGGGGCCCGCACAAGCGGUGGAGCAUGUGGUUUAAUUCGAUGCAACGCGAAGAACCUUACCUACUCUUGACAUCCAGAGAACUUAGCAGAGAUGCUUUGGUGCCUUCGGGAACUCUGAGACAGGUGCUGCAUGGCUGUCGUCAGCUCGUGUUGUGAAAUGUUGGGUUAAGUCCCGCAACGAGCGCAACCCUUAUCCUUUGUUGCCAGCGGUUAGGCCGGGAACUCAAAGGAGACUGCCAGUGAUAAACUGGAGGAAGGUGGGGAUGACGUCAAGUCAUCAUGGCCCUUACGGAGUAGGGCUACACACGUGCUACAAUGGCAUAUACAAAAGAGAAGCGACCUCGCGAGAGCAAGCGGACCUCAUAAACGUAUGUCGUAGUCCGGAUUGGAGUCUGACC
This 537-nucleotide ribosomal RNA is filed under the name uncultured bacterium. RNAcentral describes it as "bacterial SSU rRNA". It matches the Rfam family "Bacterial small subunit ribosomal RNA", at positions 777 to 1310 of the family's 1533-position model. The record is from RNAcentral.